AUAAACAAUGCAUAUUUGUAAAAAAAGACUGCAGGGCAGUGAGACUCCAGACAGAGCCCAUCCUGGCAGCCUCCCUGAGUUGAAAAGGAGCCUAGGGACCAGAGAAACAAAGGCUGCUGGAAUUUGCAGGAGAAGAAAGAAGAAUGCUGCUAUUAAGUUUUUAAUAUCCACAUUCGGUGUUGUGCCACGAAAUAAGGAAGAAAAAGGAAUGUGACCUACCUUCCUGGAAGUCAUCUCCUCCUCCUGCAAUCUGGCCGACAUGAAGCACCGCUGGUUUGCCCCCCAGCCAUAUCAUCUAUGCCCCUCUACCUCUCAGGAGAAGGGGUCUUUAGAGCAUAAGUUCCCCUUCUACA
Long non-coding RNA from Zalophus californianus (California sea lion), 353 nucleotides. RefSeq lists it as uncharacterized. The record is from RefSeq and is a predicted model, not a curated record. The transcript has 3 exons. NCBI's taxonomy places the organism in Eukaryota, Metazoa, Chordata, Mammalia, Carnivora, Otariidae.